CAUUUCAAAAAACCGCCAACGCUCUCAGAAAACGCCUUUCUUCAGAAUUACUUCUCUUCUUCAGUGUUCAUCCGAUUCAGACACCAUUGAGGUGGACCUCUCCGGCGGCGAUGUCGUCGUCUUCUAUUUAGGCCGCCGACGGAGCACCGGGUUCUGAUGGUCCAGAGGCUGAUGGCGCUGCCGAGGGAUUGGAUCCAGGUCGCGGAGAAGCGGGAGAUCCCGUAGGGGCACUGCUGGGUGGAAAGGGACAAUGCCGGCAGCAACUGGGACUCGAGAUUCUAUGGCCCUGUAGGCAUCCUGGUCUAUGGUUCCCAUGAAUUUUACCCUUCUUCCAGUUCCUCUGAUCUGAUGGAGGGGAGGAUCAUACACAUUGUCUGGCUGCCCAAUUCAAUUUGUCUGAGUCAACAGAAUGGUGACAGAUGGCCGGAUUAUUCCAUGACAUUGACAUGUUUUCUGAUCCGCUUGUUUAGGCUAGAUCAUCUAGAGUUUUAUUGUCAUGGCAAUGUAGGAUGAGAUUAGGAGCAACAUAAUCCUCAAGAGGUAGUGAUACUACUUUCACAAAGGAUUUCAUCUCUAGUAGCAACAGAAUUAACUUCAGGAACAGAUUUGAUUGUAGGAACUGCACGGUGAGGAGUUAACCAGUUACAGGUAUUCAGUUUGAAAUCCUACUAUUCCUUAUUGAGAGUAUCAAGGUGUCGUAUCCAAAGUUCAAACUUAAUAUUAUGUGCUGAAGUCACCUGCUGUGAGUACUACUUGGUGCAAAUUUGCAUCAACACAUGUUAUGCUAAUUUGAAUUAAGACCUGUAAUAAAUAACUCAGAAGCCCAGAAAUGACCGUCACAAAUGUAUAGAGAUUAAAUUUGCCUUUUCCAACAUUUUCAUCGCUAUUUUGUUUUUUUCCCACAAGGUACACAGAUGACAAACUGAAGGUACAACUUUGAUGAGAGGAACCGAAAUACAACUUGAAGUUGCAACAUGGUUGCCAGGAUGUUCAUUAUGCACUGAUUGUCCAGUCCUCUGUUUUAUUUACCAGAUACCAGAUUAGUCUACUGGCACUGGUUCCAUGGCUUCAGCCUCCUUUCUCAACUCAUCAAAUAGUGCAGAUGACAAGUAUCGCUCCCCAAGGCUUGGAAGAACAGUCUGUACCAAUGUUCACUGGUCAGUAUUCUGAAAUUUCUUCAUGUUAAUAUUGUAAGGCAAUGUGAAAAAGAUUAGACAUGUGUGACAUACCA
Panicum hallii is the source of this 1231-nucleotide long non-coding RNA. RefSeq lists it as uncharacterized. The transcript is spliced from 3 exons. The record is from RefSeq and is a predicted model, not a curated record. NCBI's taxonomy places the organism in Eukaryota, Viridiplantae, Streptophyta, Magnoliopsida, Poales, Poaceae.